RNAcentral lists this ribosomal RNA (1404 nucleotides) under uncultured bacterium. RNAcentral describes it as "bacterial SSU rRNA". It matches the Rfam family "Bacterial small subunit ribosomal RNA". The record is from RNAcentral.
GAAUUCGCCCUUAGAGUUUGAUCCUGGCUCAGGACGAACGCUGGCGGCGUGCUUAACACAUGCAAGUCGAACGAGAAUCUGCUGAAGGAGGAUUCGUCCAACGGAAGCAGAGGAAAGUGGCGGACGGGUGAGUAACGCGUGAGGAACCUGCCUUGAAGAGGGGGACAACAGUUGGAAACGACUGCUAAUACCGCAUGACGCAUAGAGGUCGCAUGAUCUUUAUGCCAAAGAUUUAUCGCUUCAAGAUGGCCUCGCGUCUGAUUAGCUGGUUGGCGGGGUAACGGCCCACCAAGGCGACGAUCAGUAGCCGGACUGAGAGGUUGAACGGCCACAUUGGGACUGAGAUACGGCCCAGACUCCUACGGGAGGCAGCAGUGGGGAAUAUUGGGCAAUGGGCGCAAGCCUGACCCAGCAACGCCGCGUGAAGGAAGAAGGCUUUCGGGUUGUAAACUUCUUUUAAGAGGGAAGAGCAGAAGACGGUACCUCUAGAAUAAGCCACGGCUAACUACGUGCCAGCAGCCGCGGUAAUACGUAGGUGGCAAGCGUUGUCCGGAUUUACUGGGUGUAAAGGGCGUGCAGCCGGGUCUGCAAGUCAGAUGUGAAAUCCAUGGGCUCAACCCAUGAACUGCAUUUGAAACUGUAGAUCUUGAGUGUCGGAGGGGCAAUCGGAAUUCCUAGUGUAGCGGUGAAAUGCGUAGAUAUUAGGAGGAACACCAGUGGCGAAGGCGGAUUGCUGGACGAUAACUGACGGUGAGGCGCGAAAGUGUGGGGAGCAAACAGGAUUAGAUACCCUGGUAGUCCACACUGUAAACGAUGAAUACUAGGUGUGCGGGGACUGACCCCCUGCGUGCCGCAGUUAACACAAUAAGUAUUCCACCUGGGGAGUACGAUCGCAAGGUUGAAACUCAAAGGAAUUGACGGGGGCCCGCACAAGCGGUGGAUUAUGUGGUUUAAUUCGAAGCAACGCGAAGAACCUUACCAGGGUUUGACAUCCUGCUAACGAAGUAGAGAUACAUUAGGUGCCCUUCGGGGAAAGCAGAGACAGGUGGUGCAUGGUUGUCGUCAGCUCGUGUCGUGAGAUGUUGGGUUAAGUCCCGCAACGAGCGCAACCCCUAUUGUUAGUUGGUACCAUUAAGUUGACCACUCUAGCGAGACUGCCCGGGUUAACCGGGAGGAAGGUGGGGAUGACGUCAAAUCAUCAUGCCCCUUAUGUCUAGGGCUACACACGUGCUACAAUGGCAAGUACAAAGAGAAGCAAUACUGUGAAGUGGAGCAAAACUCAAAAACUUGUCUCAGUUCGGAUUGUAGGCUGAAACUCGCCUACAUGAAGCUGGAGUCGCUAGUAAUCGCGAAUCAGAAUGUCGCGGUGAAUACGUUCCCGGGUCUUGCACUCACCGCCCGUCA